RNAcentral lists this ribosomal RNA (871 nucleotides) under uncultured bacterium. RNAcentral describes it as "bacterial SSU rRNA". It matches the Rfam family "Bacterial small subunit ribosomal RNA", at positions 28 to 896 of the family's 1533-position model. The record is from RNAcentral.
AACGAACGCUGGCGGCGUGCCUAACACAUGCAAGUCGAACGGAGUCAUUUUGAAGUAGCAAUACGGAAGAAUGACUUAGUGGCGCACGGGUGAGUAACACGUAGGUAACCUGCCCUUAAGAGGGGGAAAACCCGCCGAAAGGCGAGCUAAUACCGCAUAAGACCACGAACUGAGAUGUUUGUGGUAAAAGUCCCGAUGCAAAUCGGGACACUUAAGGAUGGGCCUGCGGCCUAUCAGGUAGUUGGUGAGGUAACGGCUCACCAAGCCUAAGACGGGUAGCCGGUCUGAGAGGACGGACGGCCACACUGGAACUGAGACACGGUCCAGACUCCUACGGGAGGCAGCAGUGGGGAAUUUUGCACAAUGGGCGAAAGCCUGAUGCAGCGACGCCGCGUGGAGGAUGAAGGUUUUCGGAUUGUAAACUCCUUUUUGAGGGGAAAAUAAUGAUGGUACCCUGCGAAUAAGCCACGGCUAACUCUGUGCCAGCAGCCGCGGUAAGACAGAGGUGGCGAGCGUUGUUCGGAAUUACUGGGCUUAAAGGGCGCGCUAGGCGGUAAGAUAAGUCUGUGGUGAAAUCCUAUGGCUUAACCAUAGAAUUGCCAUGGAAACUGUUUUACUUGAGUCAGCGAGGGGAUGGUGGAAUUCCUGGUGUAGCAGUGAAAUGCGUAGAUAUCCGGAGGAAGGCCGGUGGCGAAGGCGGCCAUCUGGCGCUGAACUGACGCUGAGGCGCGAAAGCGUGGGUAGCAAACAGGAUUAGAUACCCUGGUAGUCCACGCCCUAAACGGUGGGCAUUAGGUGUAGGGCUCGUAAGGGUUCUGUGCCGUAGGGAAACCAUUAAAUGCCCCGCCUGGGGAGUACGGCCGCAAGGUUA